GAUGAAGAACGCAGCGAAAUGCGAUAAGUAAUGUGAAUUGCAGAAUUCAGUGAAUCAUCGAAUCUUUGAACGCACAUUGCGCCCGCCAGUAUUCUGGCGGGCAUGCCUGUUCGAGCGUCAUUUCGACCAUCAAGCCCCACGGCUUGUGUUGGGGCUCCCUGCGGCUGUCCGCAGGCCCUGAAAACCAGUGGCGGGCUCGCAGAGUCACACCGAGCGUAGUAGAUCUCUUUCAUCUCGCUCAGGUCGUGCGUGCGGGCGCCUGCCGUAAAACGGGAGCGGCCCCGGCCGCCCACCCACCACACAAGGUUGACCUCGUAUCAGGUAGGAAUACCCGCUGAACUUAAGCAUAUCAAUAAGCGGAGGA
Molecule: unclassified non-coding RNA, 364 nt
Filed under: soil metagenome
Description: partial contains 5.8S ribosomal RNA, internal transcribed spacer 2, and large subunit ribosomal RNA
Rfam family: 5.8S ribosomal RNA (bases 1-120)
Source: RNAcentral